AUACGGAGGAUCCGAGCGUUAUCCGGAUUUAUUGGGUUUAAAGGGAGCGUAGGCGGACGCUUAAGUCAGUUGUGAAAGUUUGCGGCUCAACCGUAAAAUUGCAGUUGAUACUGGGUGUCUUGAGUACAGUAGAGGCAGGCGGAAUUCGUGGGGUAGCGGUGAAAUGCUUAGAUAUCACGAAGAACUCCGAUUGCGAAGGCAGCUUGCUGGACUGUAACUGACGCUGAUGCUCGAAAGUGUGGGUAUCAAACAGGAUUAGAUACCCUGGUAGUCCACACAGUAAACGAUGAAUACUCGCUGUUUGCGAUAUACAGUAAGCGGCCAAGCGAAAGCGUUAAGUAUUCCACCUGGGGAGUACGCCGGCAACGGUGAAACUCAAAUGAAUUGACGGGG
This 393-nucleotide ribosomal RNA is filed under the name uncultured bacterium. RNAcentral describes it as "partial 16S ribosomal RNA". It matches the Rfam family "Bacterial small subunit ribosomal RNA", at positions 523 to 918 of the family's 1533-position model. The record is from RNAcentral.